This is a long non-coding RNA of Solanum pennellii, 1236 nucleotides long. RefSeq lists it as uncharacterized. NCBI's taxonomy places the organism in Eukaryota, Viridiplantae, Streptophyta, Magnoliopsida, Solanales, Solanaceae. The transcript is spliced from 3 exons. The record is from RefSeq and is a predicted model, not a curated record.
ACCAUGGCAAGAUAUUGUCAUGUCAUUUUAGUGGAAGAUUAUCUUUUUUGUCAUAUCCUUUCAUCAGUGUCAUAAGAGAUCAAAAUACUUUUGAAAUUUAAGAAAAAUGAUCAACUUUUCGAAGAUUUUAUUUUUAUUUCAAGCAGUUCUUUUAACUUCCUUUUUCAGAUCAAAGAUUAUCAAAUCCAAAAAUGAAUAAUUAAGAACCCUAGUUCUCUACUCCUUUAAGCAUUUGGGAUCCAUUUUUCAGCCGCCUUCUUCAAGCGAAAGCUUGAUUAAAACUUCUAAUUUCUUUUAGCAUUGUUCUUCUCUGUUGGCACUUACCACAAGAAGUACUUUGCAUUUUAAUUCACUCGAGCUAAACUCUUUUUCAUUUGAAAAAAAAAAAAGAUAUCGACUGGAGGAUCCAAGAAGCCCUCAUUCAGUGCCCAUAAAAGCCUACCAAAUUGUGAAGUGAAACAGGGAAAUUGACAGUGCUAUCGGAAACAACGAAAGGAAUAUUUACAAAUCGAGAUAUAUAUCUGUUUGAAUUGAGCUGUCAUAUAACUAUAAUAAAUUUUAGUUGUAUCAAGGUGGAACUAUUCGUUUCUUUUGGAGCUGCAAACUGUUCUAUUUUUUAUCGUGCCAAGUCUUAAGGAUUCAAGACAAAAUUGCAAGGCAAGGACAUUAACGGGCAAAACAGAGUAGAAAAACAAGUACAUUGAGGAUCGUGGGGCCAAUUGGCGAUUCGCCUAGUGUCCCUUAAGAUCUCCUAAUGUUACAUCAUGCCAUUUAUUGGAAAAGAAAAACUAGGCAAGGGAACGGACCCUUCAGCACAUGCCAAUUGGAUUGGCGAAGGAGUCUCAGCCCGCCUAGUUUCACAGAACAAUCAUUGUAGAUGAUGGCAACUCUGAAAGGACAACUCGCAUAUCACCGACCAGGUAUGAAAUCUUGAACUUGAUAGCAUAAUAUAAGAUCAUGAAUAGGGUUAUGACUCAAGCUAAAUACGCCAUGUAGAGGAUUGUUUUGCUGUCGCCGGCCUGUUCGGCAACACUCUACUUAUACCGCCGAAUGACCCCGAAGGAAAAAAUCUAGAAACAUAUAACUUAUAUUCAAAAAGAGAUAUCUGGAUUCCAGCAUUAUUUUUUUGAUGGAAAGACUAUUUUUAUGAGUUUUCAAGUAGAUUUUCUACUUGGGUUUCGAUCGUAAACUAAUUUGGAGCAUUGUAAAGCCUUGGAUUUUAUCGCCCAACUUAUG